Molecule: ribosomal RNA, 1878 nt
Filed under: Triticum aestivum (bread wheat)
Lineage: Eukaryota; Viridiplantae; Streptophyta; Magnoliopsida; Poales; Poaceae
Description: partial small subunit ribosomal RNA
Source: RNAcentral
AUGGAGACGCCGCCUCCACCACCCGCGGUGCCGUCCGUUCUCGCCCACCUGCGGUCCCUCCUCUCCGCCGCCUCUUCCGCUCUAUCCUCCCUCCCUUCCCCACUCCUCCCCUGCUCCACCACCACCACGGCGACCAUCGCCACCUCCUCCACACUCCCCGCACCUGCGCCCACCACCCCGCUCCCAUCUUUCCCCUCUUCACCGACCUCCGAAAUCCCCCUCCCCCUCCCGGCUGCGCCCGUCCCCUACCACGACUGCCCAGCCGUCGUCCGCACCACCAACCAACCGCCCGCCUCGUCCUCCCUCCCCGCCUUCCUCGCCGCCGAGUGCGCAGACUUCGCCUCCUCCACUGCCGCCCCAACCCUCUCCUCUCCUCCCCGCAUCCUCCCGUCUGAGCUCUGCCUCCUGCGUCGGGAGGUGGACUCCUGGGGCAGCCACCAUCCCCCCGGGGCGUACUCCUACGCUGUGGCCCGCGUGGUGGAGGCACUGCGGUUAGGUGCCCUGCAGUGGGAAGUCGAGCUGCGGCGCUGGUUGCUCGCGAGCUCACCGAGAUAUGGUAUCGUGAUUGACGCGGCCAGUCGAGACCAUGUGUUUGUGCUGGUCAGGCUGUGUCUGAAGGCGGCGGCGGCGGAGGCAGGGUGCUCGCUGGAACGCCUGCCCAAGGGGGAGAGCGAGGAGUUUCGUCUUGAUCCGAGGGCUGUGCGGUUCGAGUGCCCCAGGCUGGUUGAUGGUGUCUCAUGGUUGGCGAGGCAGCUCGAGGUUUUGUAUGGGAAGGGCAAUGGCUGGUUCUUCGCGAUUACGGCGGUGAAGGAGGCAAUUCUUAGGUUGGGGUCUUGUUUGGCUGUCGGUGUUGGAGAUGGUGUUGCUGGAGGCGCUAGUGAAAAAGGAUGUGAGUUGAGAGAUACUGGGACAUGCCCUAUUUUUGUCUCCCAGGUUGUUGCUGCCAUUGCAGCCUUACAUGAGAGGUUGUCCCUGGAUAAGAAGAUUAGGGCUCUGCAAGCACCACGCCCAUCCAAAUAUCAGCUGUUACUUGAAUAUUCACAAAUACUGAAGCAAGGCUGUGAUGAGCGUUCAAAGCGACCAAACUACAGAGCUGUUCUGGAUUAUGAUGGAAUUCUACCACGUCAAAUGGAUAACCAGGAAUCUGGUUGGUCCAAGACAAGGGAGGAGCUGCUAGCUGAAGAACGGGAUUACAAGAGAAGAAGAAUGUCUUACCGUGGGAAGAAAAUGAAGCGAAAUCCAACAGAGAUAUUAAGAGACAUAAUUGAUGAGCACAUGGCGGAAAUAAAACAAGCAGGUCUGCGGGAACCUCCUGGUGACAUUGCACAAAAUAUACUUGAGACCAAUUCUAGUGGAGGCGCUUACCAAGGAAGCUCUUGUGAUAAGGCUAUUUUGGGUUCUCGAUUACCUAGUCGUGAGAACUCACCACAUACUGCAUCAAGGAGCCAUGACACAAAGGAUUCAUAUAUGAACAUAAGAUAUGAAAAUAGUGCACAUCAUCACCAAAAUGUAUCUGAGCAUGAGAAAGGAGGGAUCAGAGAAUCAGGAAAUGCAACGAAUCGAGGCUAUUCUGACCGGCAUGAUUACACACAUAAAAGAAACACCAAUGAUCAUAGGAAAUAUGGUAAUAAGUAUAAAAAGAACAUCCCAGAUUACCAUUCUGAAUCAAGUGAUCGUUCAGCAUGGUCCACACGAACACCAAAAUCCUCAGAAAGAGAAUACGGUGGCAUGCCAGGAGAUAAAAGCAAUGAUAGAACCAGAACUACUCAGAACAGACAUGGAUCAAUACCUGGGAACGAAGACCAGUUCAGUGAUAGAUAUGAUCCCAAAAGCAGAUAUUCUGAUGAGGAUCUUCGUGAAGCAUACCAUGAUGCGUGA